GCACGCGCUGGUGCUGGAAAUUGCAGCAGUGUGUGUGAGGAAGGAAGGAAGGGGAAAGUUGUCAGGAGAGCACGUGUUUCUCCAUCGAGAGCUUAAUAAAUGCUUGUUGACUGACUGCACCCUGCACAUCAUUUUAAGAUUGAGAAGAAAAAAGACCUGAAAAAUCAGCUUUGGUGGUUUAUGAGGAAAAAAAACCCAAGGAAGAGGCACAACGUUGGUUUUAUCGGCUUCUUUUUGACAUAGAAGAAAAGAAACAGAGGGAAUUAUCAUCUGUCCUUAGGAAGUUCAGUUUUUUGGGGGGAAAUAAACUGUUCCAAAAGCCAUAUAAUAUAUUAAAAGUGUUGUUCAAACCAAGCAUCAGUUUCUUUUCUACCUAAAUAACUGCAUAUCUGAUAGCAGAAUAAAAGAUAGAAGCUCCAUUGUUUAUCUUUACAUAAAGAAUUAAUUGCUCCCUGAAAACUUAAUUCAAGCUACAUACAUUUCACAUAAAAUCUAUCUACAGCAUUCAACAGACCACAUCACAUAUUGGGGCUGACCACAUAAACACUGAAUAUCCAAUAAUCUGAGGAUACGUAUGCUAUAUGCUGAUAAAAGAGCAGCUGAACUAAAAAAAGAUGAAAGCAGAUGGAAACUAGAAGGCCUUUCCAGAUGCCUUAUUCUUUGUACUUUGGCUCGAUCA
This is a long non-coding RNA of Phascolarctos cinereus (koala), 679 nucleotides long. RefSeq lists it as uncharacterized. The record is from RefSeq and is a predicted model, not a curated record. Lineage: Eukaryota; Metazoa; Chordata; Mammalia; Diprotodontia; Phascolarctidae.